RNAcentral lists this long non-coding RNA (222 nucleotides) under Capsicum annuum. RNAcentral's name for it is "long non-coding RNA (CANN_LNC014817)". Lineage: Eukaryota; Viridiplantae; Streptophyta; Magnoliopsida; Solanales; Solanaceae. The record is from RNAcentral.
UGUGCUUAGCCUUGUAUUCCUAGAUAAUAUCAUUUCCACGAAUUCAUGCUCAGUUACCUCAUGUUCCUCAGUCAGUCCUUACCUCAGAUGCACAGUACUCUAUAGUUUUAGUCUAGUUAUUCAGGUUAAGUAUAGUUCAAUCUUACAUGACCAGUAUCCAGCUAUCAGUCAUCCAGUUAAUCAAAUAAGUUAGUAUGUUUACACAUUCAUGCUCAGUGCCCC